UACGAAGGGGGCUAGCGUUGCUCGGAAUUACUGGGCGUAAAGGGCGCGUAGGCGGACAGUUAAGUUGGGGGUGAAAGCCCGGGGCUCAACCUCGGAAUUGCCUUCAAUACUGGCUGUCUUGAGUGCGGGAGAGGUGUGUGGAACUCCGAGUGUAGAGGUGAAAUUCGUAGAUAUUCGGAAGAACACCAGUGGCGAAGGCGACACACUGGCCCGUUACUGACGCUGAGGCGCGAAAGCGUGGGGAGCAAACAGG
This 253-nucleotide ribosomal RNA is filed under the name uncultured bacterium. RNAcentral's name for it is "partial 16S ribosomal RNA". It matches the Rfam family "Bacterial small subunit ribosomal RNA", at positions 524 to 776 of the family's 1533-position model. The record is from RNAcentral.